GACGAACGCUGGCGGCGUGCUUAACACAUGCAAGUCGAGCGGGGUCCAUCCGGUGGCAACACCGGUGAAGACCUAGCGGCGAACGGGUGAGUUACACGUGAGUAACCUGCCCCGAAGUUCGGGAUAACACCGGGAAACCGGUGCUAAUACCGGAUACCCCCAACUGGUCGCAUGGCCGGAUGAGGAAAGAUUUAUCGCUUCGGGAGGGGCUCGCGGGCUAUCAGCUUGUUGGUGGGGUAACGGCCUACCAAGGCGACGACGGCUAGCUGGUCUGAGAGGACGACCAGCCACACUGGGACUGAGACACGGCCCAGACUCCUACGGGAGGCAGCAGUGGGGAAUCUUGCGCAAUGGGCGAAAGCCUGACGCAGCAACGCCGCGUGGGGAUGAAUGUCUUCGGAUUGUAAACCCCUUUCAGCAGGGACGAAAC
Molecule: ribosomal RNA, 430 nt
Filed under: uncultured bacterium
Lineage: Bacteria
Description: bacterial SSU rRNA
Rfam family: Bacterial small subunit ribosomal RNA
Source: RNAcentral